AGAACGAACGCUGGCGGCAGGCCUCAAACAUGCAAGUCUAGGGGGUGCAGCAAUGCAUCACCGGCGGACGGGUGCGUAACACGUGGGAAUAUACCUUUUGGUUCGGAACAACGCAGGGAAACUUGCGCUAAUACCGAAUGUGCCCUUACGGGGAAAGAUUUAUCGCCAAAGGAUUAGCCCGCGUCCGAUUAGCUAGUUGGUGAGGUAAUGGCUCACCAAGGCUCCGAUCGGUAGCUGUUCUGAGAGGAAGAUCAGCCACACUGGGACUGAGACACGGCCCAGACUCCUACGGGAGGCAGCAGUUGGGAAUCUUGGACAAUGGGGGAAACCCUGAUCCAGCCAUGCCGCGUGAGUGAUGAAGGCCUUCGGGUUGUAAACUCUUUCGACGGGGACGAUAAUGACGAUACCCGUAGAAGAAGCUCCGGCUAACUUCGUGCCAGCAGCCGC
This 447-nucleotide ribosomal RNA is filed under the name uncultured bacterium. RNAcentral's name for it is "SSU rRNA". It matches the Rfam family "Bacterial small subunit ribosomal RNA", at positions 26 to 518 of the family's 1533-position model. The record is from RNAcentral.